RNAcentral lists this transfer RNA (91 nucleotides) under Marmota monax (woodchuck). Its description in RNAcentral is "tRNA.Gly". Lineage: Eukaryota; Metazoa; Chordata; Mammalia; Rodentia; Sciuridae. The record is from RNAcentral.
GUGGUUGUAGCUCAGUGGUAGAGUGCUUGCCUACCAUGUGUAAGGCACUGGGUUCAUGAGUGAGGCACUGGGUUCUAUCCUCAGCACCACA